UCCCUGGUGGCCCAGUGGAUAAGACUCUGCGCUCUCAUUGCAGGGGGCCUGGGUUCGAUCCCUGGCCAGGGAA
Non-coding RNA from Bos taurus (domestic cattle), 73 nucleotides. The record is from Rfam. Lineage: Eukaryota; Metazoa; Chordata; Mammalia; Artiodactyla; Bovidae.